RNAcentral lists this ribosomal RNA (553 nucleotides) under uncultured archaeon. RNAcentral's name for it is "bacterial SSU rRNA". It matches the Rfam family "Archaeal small subunit ribosomal RNA", at positions 326 to 879 of the family's 1478-position model. The record is from RNAcentral.
CGGGGUGAGCAGGCGCGAAACCUUUACAAUGCUGGCAACAGCGAUAAGGGGACCUCGAGUGCCACGAUACAAUCGUGGCUGUCUAGUUGCCUAAAAAGCAAUUGAUAGCAAGGGCCGGGCAAGACCGGUGCCAGCCGCCGCGGUAACACCGGCGGCUCGAGUGGUAACCGCUAUUAUUUGGUCUAAAGGGUCUGUAGCCGGCUUAGUCAGUCUUUUGAGAAAUCUGGCCGCUCAACGGUCAGGCGUUCAGGGGAUACUGCUAAAGCUCGAGACCGGGAGAGGUGAGAGGUACUUCAGGGGUAGGGGUGAAAUCUUGUAAUCCUUGAAGGACCACCAGUGGCGAAGGCGUCUCACCAGAACGGAUCUGACGGCAAGGGACGAAAGCUAGGGGCACGAACCGGAUUAGAUACCCGGGUAGUCCUAGCCGUAAACGAUACUCGCUAGGUGUCGGCCACGGUGCGACCGUGGUCGGUGCCGUAGGGAAGCCGUGAAGCGAGCCACCUGGGAAGUACGGCCGCAAGGCUGAAACUUAAAGGAAUUGGCGGGGGAGCAC